This 601-nucleotide long non-coding RNA is filed under the name Prunus persica (peach). Its description in RNAcentral is "long non-coding RNA (PPER_LNC003864)". The record is from RNAcentral. Lineage: Eukaryota; Viridiplantae; Streptophyta; Magnoliopsida; Rosales; Rosaceae.
AAGACUGUAAUGCUACCACUUGUACUUGACCAUGUAUCAUCUUGUAACAUUUCUCUGGCAAAAUUCUUCAGGUGGGUUUGUGAACAUUAUCACUCAAGGAGGAGGCAGGCCAUCGCUUGUCAAGUUGUCAAUACCAGCACCAAAGAGGGAGGAGGCUGUGAAGCCUAGGUUUUGGGUCAUUUGGUACUUGGUGUCUUCUGCGUCUGAUUCCAUCGGUACAAGGAAAAAAGAAAGAGAAAAAACUGUUGAGAGACUCUUCUGAGAGAUUUGAGGAGAGGUGGUGCCUCUUGGGUUUGCUGUCAGAAAAAAUAAAAAUAAAAACUAGAGAAAAAUUAACUCUUGUGGAGUAGCUCUUAUUGUUUGUUGUCAGUGAUUGCACUUUAAUUUAGUUUGGUGUGAACUAUUUUGGUUCUCAAUCUCUGUUCUUUGAGCUAUUGCCCCUUGGUAUGGAGUAAAUCUUGGAGCAAAAUUCUUCAGGUGGGAGAGAGAACUCAAAAAAGCACGGGGAAGAAAUGUUUCUUUGGUGGGAAAUAUGAAAGAGAAGCACAGGUCUCCCGGAUUGGAUGGGUCUGCUCGUUGCUUCUUUGUUUCUCAAAUGGCG